CCUACGGGAGGCAGCAGUGGGGAAUCUUGCGCAAUGGGCGAAAGCCUGACGCAGCAACGCCGCGUGCGGGAAGAAGGCUCUCGGGUUGUAAACCGCUUUCAGCAGGAACGAAAAUGACGGUACUUGCAGAAGAAGGUGCGGCCAACUACGUGCCAGCAGCCGCGGUGACACGUAGGCACCAAGCGUUGUCCGGAUUUAUUGGGCGUAAAGAGCUCGUAGGCGGUUCGGUAAGUCAGGUGUGAAAACUUUGGGCUCAACCCAAAGCCUGCAUCUGAUACUGCUGUGACUAGAGUUCGGUAGGGGAGCGGGGAAUUCCUAGUGUAGCGGUGAAAUGCGCAGAUAUUAGGAGGAACACCGGUGGCGAAGGCGCCGCUCUGGGCCGAAACUGACGCUGAGGAGCGAAAGCGUGGGUAGCAAACAGGAUUAGAUACCCUGGUAGUCCACGCCGUAAACGUUGGGCACUAGGUGUGGGUUUCAACCAACGAAAUCCGCGCCGUCGCUAACGCAUUAAGUGCCCGCCUGGGGAGUACGGCCGCAAGGUUAAAACUCAAAUGAAUUGACGG
This 563-nucleotide ribosomal RNA is filed under the name uncultured bacterium. RNAcentral's name for it is "bacterial SSU rRNA". It matches the Rfam family "Bacterial small subunit ribosomal RNA", at positions 338 to 916 of the family's 1533-position model. The record is from RNAcentral.